Molecule: ribosomal RNA, 373 nt
Filed under: Anopheles sinensis
Lineage: Eukaryota; Metazoa; Arthropoda; Insecta; Diptera; Culicidae
Description: eukaryotic LSU rRNA
Rfam family: Eukaryotic large subunit ribosomal RNA
Source: RNAcentral
UGCACUGCGCGCAGUAUGGGAGUAGCAACCCAAAGGCGAAGAUAACACAACUGCAAAGUCGUUGCGGGAUUACGGGUGCACCACAGUCCGCGAGGACUGGCUAGCUGUGCCGCCCCUCCAUCCCCGGGUGUUUAGCAACGGAUCUGUAGUGCCGCGGACCCCCCGACAGGGGUGGGCAUUUGCAGAGCCAACGCGACAUACCGCGAGCGCGCAGGAUGUGACCCGAAAGAUGGUGAACUAUGCCUGAUCAGGUUGAAGUCAGGGGAAACCCUGAUGGAGGACCGAAGCAAUUCUGACGUGCAAAUCGAUUGUCAGAGUUGGGCAUAGGGGCGAAAGACCAAUCGAACCAUCUAGUAGCUGGUUCCCCUUCCGA